AUUGAACGCUGGCGGCAGGCCUAACACAUGCAAGUCGAACGGUAACAGGAAACAGCUUGCUGUUUCGCUGACGAGUGGCGGACGGGUGAGUAAUGUCUGGGAAACUGCCUGAUGGAGGGGGAUAACUACUGGAAACGGUAGCUAAUACCGCAUAACGUCGCAAGACCAAAGGGGGGGCCUUCGGGCCUCUUGCCAUCGGAUGUGCCCAGAUGGGAUUAGCUAGUAGGUGGGGUAACGGCUCACCUAGGCGACGAUCCCUAGCUGGGAUGAGAGGAUGACCAGCAACACUGGAACUGAGACACGGGCCAGACUCCUACGGGAGGCAGCAGUGGGGAAUAUUGCACAAUGGGCGCAAGCCUGAUGCAGCCAUGCAGCGUGUAUGAAGAAGGCCUUCGGGUUGUAAAGUACUUUCAGCGGGGAGGAAGGGAGUAAAGUUAAUACCUUUGCUCAUUGACGUUACCCGCAGAAGAAGCACCGGCUAACUCCGUGCCAGCCGCCGCUGUAA
Molecule: ribosomal RNA, 505 nt
Filed under: uncultured bacterium
Lineage: Bacteria
Description: partial 16S ribosomal RNA
Rfam family: Bacterial small subunit ribosomal RNA
Source: RNAcentral